UAGUAAUCCAGCCGCCGCGGUAAAACGUAGGUCACAAGCGUUGUCCGGAAUUACUGGGUGUAAAGGGAGCGCAGGCGGGAAGACAAGUUGGAAGUGAAAUCCAUGGGCUCAACCCAUGAACUGCUUUCAAAACUGUUUUUCUUGAGUAGUGCAGAGGUAGGCGGAAUUCCCGGUGUAGCGGUGGAAUGCGUAGAUAUCGGGAGGAACACCAGUGGCGAAGGCGGCCUACUGGGCACCAACUGACGCUGAGGCUCGAAAGUGUGGGUAGCAAACAGG
Molecule: ribosomal RNA, 276 nt
Filed under: Faecalibacterium prausnitzii
Lineage: Bacteria; Bacillati; Bacillota; Clostridia; Eubacteriales; Oscillospiraceae
Description: partial 16S ribosomal RNA
Rfam family: Bacterial small subunit ribosomal RNA
Source: RNAcentral